RNAcentral lists this ribosomal RNA (497 nucleotides) under uncultured bacterium. Its description in RNAcentral is "partial 16S ribosomal RNA". It matches the Rfam family "Bacterial small subunit ribosomal RNA", at positions 28 to 507 of the family's 1533-position model. The record is from RNAcentral.
GACGAACGCUGGCGGCGUGCCUAAUACAUGCAAGUUGAGCGCUGAAGGUUGGUACUUGUACCAACUGGAUGAGCAGCGAACGGGUGAGUAACGCGUGGGGAAUCUGCCUUUGAGCGGGGGACAACAUUUGGAAACGAAUGCUAAUACCGCAUAAAAACUUUAAACACAAGUUUUAAGUUUGAAAGAUGCAAUUGCAUCACUCAAAGAUGAUCCCGCGUUGUAUUAGCUAGUUGGUGAGGUAAAGGCUCACCAAGGCGAUGAUACAUAGCCGACCUGAGAGGGUGAUCGGCCACAUUGGGACUGAGACACGGCCCAAACUCCUACGGGAGGCAGCAGUAGGGAAUCUUCGGCAAUGGACGAAAGUCUGACCGAGCAACGCCGCGCGAGUGAAUAAGGUUUUCGGAUCGUAAAACUCUGUUGGUAGAGAAGAACGUUGGUGAGAGUGGAAAGCUCAUCAAGUGACGGUAACUACCCAGAAAGGGACGGCUAACUACGUG